Molecule: non-coding RNA, 135 nt
Organism: Triticum urartu
Lineage: Eukaryota; Viridiplantae; Streptophyta; Magnoliopsida; Poales; Poaceae
Source: Rfam
UUAGUACUUCCUCCGUCUGAAAAUAGUUGUCAUCAAGAUGGAUAAAAAAUGAUGUAUCUAGAACUAAAAUACAUCUAGAUACAUCCCCUUUUAUUCAUUUUGAUGACAAAUAUUUUCGGACGAAGGGGGUAUUUU